This 253-nucleotide ribosomal RNA is filed under the name uncultured bacterium. RNAcentral's name for it is "partial 16S ribosomal RNA". It matches the Rfam family "Bacterial small subunit ribosomal RNA", at positions 524 to 776 of the family's 1533-position model. The record is from RNAcentral.
UACGUAGGGUGCGAGCGUUGUCCGGAAUCACUGGGCGUAAAGGGUGCGUAGGCGGAUCUUUAAGUCAGGGGUGAAAUCCUGGAGCUCAACUCCAGAACUGCCUUUGAUACUGAGGAUCUCGAGUUCGGGGGAGGUGAGUGGAACUGCGAGUGUAGAGGUGAAAUUCGUAGAUAUUCGCAAGAACACCAGUGGCGAAGGCGGCUCACUGGCCCGAUACUGACGCUGAGGCACGAAAGCGUGGGGAGCAAACAGG